Molecule: ribosomal RNA, 301 nt
Filed under: uncultured bacterium
Lineage: Bacteria
Description: partial 16S ribosomal RNA
Rfam family: Bacterial small subunit ribosomal RNA
Source: RNAcentral
CAGUAGCCGCGGGAAUACGAAGGGGGCUAGCGUUGCUCGGAAUCACUGGGCGUAAAGGGUGCGUAGGCGGGUCUUUAAGUCAGGGGUGAAAUCCUGGAGCUCAACUCCAGAACUGCCUUUGAUACUGAAGAUCUUGAGUUCGGGAGAGGUGAGUGGAACUGCGAGUGUAGAGGUGAAAUUCGUAGAUAUUCGCAAGAACACCAGUGGCGAAGGCGGCUCACUGGCCCGAUACUGACGCUGACGCACGAAAGCGUGGGGAGCAAACAGGAUUAGAUACCCGCGUAGUCCCUGUCUCUUAUAC